GCUCAGGACGAACGCUGGCGGCGUGCYUAAUACAUGCAAGUCGAGCGGACCGACGGGAGCUUGCUCCCUUAGGUCAGCGGCGGACGGGUGAGUAACACGUGGGUAACCUGCCUGUAAGACUGGGAUAAYUCCGGGAAACCGGGGCUAAUACCGGAUGCUUGAUUGAACCGCAUGGUUCAAUCAUAAAAGGUGGCUUUUAGCUACCACUURCAGAUGGACCCGCGGCGCAUUAGCUAGUUGGUGAGGUAACGGCUCACCAAGGCGACGAUGCGUAGCCGACCUGAGAGGGUGAUCGGCCACACUGGGACUGAGACACGGCCCAGACUCCUACGGGAGGCAGCAGUAGGGAAUCUUCCGCAAUGGACGAAAGUCUGACGGAGCAACGCCGCGUGAGUGAUGAAGGUUUUCGGAUCGUAAAACUCUGUUGUUAGGGAAGAACAAGUACCGUUCGAAUAGGGC
This 459-nucleotide ribosomal RNA is filed under the name Bacillus sp. R-45708. RNAcentral's name for it is "bacterial SSU rRNA". It matches the Rfam family "Bacterial small subunit ribosomal RNA", at positions 22 to 470 of the family's 1533-position model. Lineage: Bacteria; Bacillati; Bacillota; Bacilli; Caryophanales; Bacillaceae. The record is from RNAcentral.